Molecule: ribosomal RNA, 229 nt
Filed under: uncultured bacterium
Lineage: Bacteria
Description: partial 16S ribosomal RNA
Rfam family: Bacterial small subunit ribosomal RNA
Source: RNAcentral
AGAGUUUGAUCCUGGCUCAGGAUGAACGCUGGCGGCGUGCUUAACACAUGCAAGUCGAACGGGGAAUAUACUGACAGAGACUUCGGUUGAAGUCGUUAUAUUCCUAGUGGCGGACGGGUGAGUAACGCGUGGGUAACCUGCCUCACACUGGGGGAUAACAGCCAGAAAUGGCUGCUAAUACCGCAUAAGCGCACAAGGGACGCAUGUCCUGGUGUGAAAAACUCCGCGG